CACGCCGUAAACGAUGAUAACUAGCUGUCCGGGCACUUGGUGCUUGGGUGGCGCAGCUAACGCAUUAAGUUAUCCGCCUGGGGAGUACGGUCGCAAGAUUAAAACUCAAAGGAAUUGACG
Molecule: ribosomal RNA, 120 nt
Filed under: uncultured bacterium
Lineage: Bacteria
Description: partial 16S ribosomal RNA
Rfam family: Bacterial small subunit ribosomal RNA
Source: RNAcentral